RNAcentral lists this long non-coding RNA (3306 nucleotides) under Homo sapiens (human). RNAcentral describes it as "non-protein coding lnc-GRM6-1:2". Lineage: Eukaryota; Metazoa; Chordata; Mammalia; Primates; Hominidae. The record is from RNAcentral.
GCGUGUGCUGGGGUGGCGACGCCACAGCCACUAACGCGUGUGCGGUGCGGGAGGACAAGGAUGUCGGGCAGGGAUGUCCUGCUUGGCACCUCAGGACAGAGCCCAUGGUGGCUGGCGGCCCCUGGAAUGUUCGGGACGCAGAACACUUCGUGCUUGGGAACUUCUCAGAGGUGGGGACGAGGGAGAGGAAGGCGCCUGGAUGCCAGGAAGUCUCCAUCUUGGACAGCUGGGUGGUAUUUAAGAAGGUGGUAUUUAUUUUUGUCGACCAUAUUUUGCAGAGACUGGCAAGGAUGAGAUGAUGCCUAAGAAUAUCCAACUGGAGAUACUUAGUUGCUUUUGAAUAGGUAAUUUGCAUGGAGCUCAGGAAGGAAAGAUGAGAGGGUUUUAACUUUGUUGGUCGUUAAAAAAAAUCAAGAAUGUGACCUGUUUGUCACAUACGGAAUUGUUGGCCACGUUUUAGGAAGCAGUGUCAGUGACUACAGCAUUCUGUUUGGAGUUUUAUUGAAGAUUUCAUUCCAUAGACACUUUGGAGCACUUAUGUGUCAAGUGCUUGACAAGGCCAGGGUCAGCCGCUGUGCAGCCCCUGUAGCAGUUCCCAGGGACCCGGCAAAGCACCAGAGGGGGAGGAUGUUGUGUGAGUAUCGCUGGUAACCCUUCUCUCUCGCCUCCCUCGUGACUCCAGGUCACUCAAACUGGGCUCCAGAGAGUAAGAACCCCGAGUCCAGGGGCUGGAGAAAUAGCUGUGAAAACCCUGCACUCAUGGAGUUUUAAUUGUACUAGAGGAGGGGUCAGACAAGUAGAAAGUAUUUAUCUGGUAGUGAUAACACUACUGUUAGGGGUUAGGGUGUGAUGGGGCGGGGAAUUAUUUCAAGCAGCAGUUUUGGAAGUUCUCUUUGAGGAGGUAACACCUGAGCAGAGAUUUGAAUACAGUGAGGGAAGAAACGAUGUGACUGUAUGGGUAAAGUGCCUUCUAAAGGGAGGGAACAGAAAUGCUGACCAGAGAGAAGUGUGCUUGGUGAACUCCAGGCUUGGCAAGGUCAGUAUGACUGGCGAGGGCCUACUGAACAAGGAAGACUGCGAGAUGCUGUUGCAGGAGUAACUACAGGCCUUGAAGGAAGGAAAUUUGGAUUUAUUUCUGUGCCUGGAAAUGAUUAGAUUUGAAAGAGUGACAUGGCUGGGCACGUUUUGAUAGACGCACUGGUCAGCUUCAAAGAAGGCAGACAGUGGUGGGGCUAGAGGGGAUACAGGAAGACCAAUGAGGAGGCAAUGACAGCAGUCCACAAUUACAAGUAGCCUCCCACAAUUAUAUAACCUUUCCACAAGGCAUUUGCUUUGAGAGCCUAAUGAUUCUAAGAUAUUGAAGGGUUUUGGGUGCUAUGCUCAGGAGUUUGGAUAUUAUUGUUUUCAGGAAUUUAAGAAUGAUAAUAUGUAUUGAGCACUAACUACAUGUUGGGAGUUUUUUUGUUUGAGACACAGUUUCACUUUUGUUGCCCGGGCUGGGGUGCAAUGGCAUGACCUCGGCUUACCGCAAGCUCCGCCUCCCGGGUUCAAGCAAUUCUCCUGCCUCAGCCUCCCCUGUAGCUGGGACUACAUGCAUGCGCCAUCACGCCUGGAUAAUUUUGUACUUUUAGUAGAGAUGGGGUUUCCCCAGGUUGGUCAGGCUGAACUCCUGACUUCAGGUGAUCCGCCCGCAUCGGCCCCCUAAAGUGCUGGGAUUACAGGCAUGAGCCACUGCGCCUGGCCAUGUUGGGCACUUUUACAAGCACUUUACAUUAUCUAAUGCAACCAAAAACUGAGGUUUGCCCUAUUAAUAAAUGAGAAAACUGAGGCACUCAUCUGUUAAGUGCCUUGCUCAGGUCCCAUGUCCUUGGAACCAGGAGUCCUUCUCCUGUUGAUGUUGGAAGGUUCAAAAGUGCUCUUAUUACUUGUCACCCAGAUGGCAAAGAACUGACAUACAAAGGCCCAAGUCUUCCAGAACUGAAAACAGUAAUAAAACCUUCAUUUAUCUGACCCAUUUGUCCUGGUGAUGCUGUAGUCUGUUAGGAGUACCUAACAGGUGCCCUUCCACAGCCAACUAAAAAACAAAACUAUUCAAGCUGAAGAGAAGCAGUGAAACCUCUGAUAUGAAGCCUGACACACCCUUUGACUUUAGCCAGGACUCACACACUAUAUUGUUCUGAGUAUUCACUGAGGAAGCCCCCGCUUCUGUCAAGGAUUCUCAUCAGGAACCAGUCUCCUCGGAGAAAGGAGGUUAAAACGUGGUCUGGAGAACCCCUUUCCCUUCUGCUCUAUUAACUAUGGAUAUGCAAAUGAACACUUACAUUUGACCAAGACCUCCAUCACCAGUCUGCUUACGCUUCCCCAGGACAGUGGCUACGUGCCAGUAAUUCCUGGUGUCCAUUUGCUGAGCCCUGUUGGGACCCUUGAAGCGUGAUAUAAUAAGGUCUUCCUUUAGCCUCAUUUCUUCCUGCUUCUUGACUUCUACUCUAUGCUUAAAUCAUACAUCUCUUAGAAUUUCCUGAAUAUACACUAUGCUCUCUUAGCCUCUCUUGCCAUUACUCCUAUUCUUCCCUGCACCUUCUCAUUUCCUCCCGUCUUCUGUUCACCCAACUAGUUCACUCUUAUGGCACUGUGUGCUAGGAGCUACUUGACAGCAGAGAGCAGGCGUCAUUUACCCUGGAAUUCAUAGAAGCUGACUUAUGCUAGGAGCUCAAUAAAUGUUAGUUGCUUGAAUGAACUACACUAUGAGUAGGAACAAGGUCUUACUCAUCCUUGUCACAAUAACAUGCAGCACAGGCCAAUUACUUAUGAGUCUCUUGACCACAGACCAUCAGAUCAUGCCAAUGUGUAUAUAGGCAGGGAAAUAACCUACCUCAAUUAAGUUAUAAGCAUUCAUAAAUUUUUCAGAGACCCUUCUCCUCCAGAUCUGUUGUGAUAUUUUUCAGGAGCCAGAGGCAGUUGGAAGCUAUGCAGUAUCUAGGAGAGGGGUACUGGCACCAUAUUCUGCAGCUCCACUUUUAUUCGUUAAAGAACCCUGACUGGUAACCUCUUUAAAUGCCCAGAGGCCCAUUUCACAGAGCUCAAGUGGAGGGAAUGGCCCUAUUUGAGUCUUUUGAAUGAUGAUCCAGCCAUAGAGGAAAUACCCUGGUCACCCAAUUCUCUAUAGUUCCAGAGGGCGCUGUGUUUCUUGCUACCUUCAGAGUUACCCUAGUGCAUCCUAACUCCUGGUUUAUUUCAGACUUCCCUACCUUGAGCUCCUUCUGAGCUCUAAAUCACUAGCAACUACUGAGUAGGUGCUCAGUAACU